UUAAAUUGAAGAGUUUGAUCAUGGCUCAGAUUGAACGCUGGCGGCAGGCCUAACACAUGCAAGUCGAACGGUAACAGGAAGCAGCUUGCUGCUUCGCUGACGAGUGGCGGACGGGUGAGUAAUGUCUGGGAAACUGCCUGAUGGAGGGGGAUAACUACUGGAAACGGUAGCUAAUACCGCAUAAUGUCGCAGGACCAAAGAGGGGGACCUUCGGGCCUCUUGCCAUCAGAUGUGCCCAGAUGGGAUUAGCUUGUUGGUGAGGUAACGGCUCACCAAGGCGACGAUCCCUAGCUGGUCUGAGAGGAUGACCAGCCACACUGGAACUGAGACACGGUCCAGACUCCUACGGGAGGCAGCAGUGGGGAAUAUUGCACAAUGGGCGCAAGCCUGAUGCAGCCAUGCCGCGUGUAUGAAGAAGGCCUUCGGGUUGUAAAGUACUUUCAGCGGGGAGGAAGGGGAUAAGGCUAAUAACCUUGUUCAUUGACGUUACCCGCAGAAGAAGCAC
Molecule: ribosomal RNA, 505 nt
Filed under: Salmonella enterica subsp. arizonae serovar 63:g,z51:- str. So 20/20
Lineage: Bacteria; Pseudomonadati; Pseudomonadota; Gammaproteobacteria; Enterobacterales; Enterobacteriaceae
Description: bacterial SSU rRNA
Rfam family: Bacterial small subunit ribosomal RNA
Source: RNAcentral